UACGUAGGGGGCAAGCGUUGUCCGGAAUCAUUGGGCGUAAAGAGCGUGUAGGCGGUCCGGUAAGUCGGCUGUGAAAGUCCAGGGCUCAACCCUGGGAUGCCGGUCGAUACUGCCGGACUAGAGUUCGGAAGAGGCGAGUGGAAUUCCCGGUGUAGCGGUGAAAUGCGCAGAUAUCGGUAGGAACACCUAUGGCGAAGGCAGCUCGCUGGGACGUUACUGACGCUGAGACGCGAAAGCGUGGGGAGCAAACAGG
This 253-nucleotide ribosomal RNA is filed under the name uncultured bacterium. RNAcentral describes it as "partial 16S ribosomal RNA". It matches the Rfam family "Bacterial small subunit ribosomal RNA", at positions 524 to 776 of the family's 1533-position model. The record is from RNAcentral.